GUCCACGCUGUAAACGAUGUCGACUUGGAGGUUGUGCCCUUGAGGCGUGGCUUCCGGAGCUAACGCGUUAAGUCGACCGCCUGGGGAGUACGGCCGCAAGGUUAAAACUCAAAUGAAUUGACGGGGGCCCGCACAAGCGGUGGAGCAUGUGGUUUAAUUCGAUGCAACGCGAAGAACCUUACCUGGCCUUGACAUGUCUGGAAUCCUGCAGAGAUGCGGGAGUGCCUUCGGGAAUCAGAACACAGGUGCUGCAUGGCUGUCGU
RNAcentral lists this ribosomal RNA (263 nucleotides) under uncultured bacterium. Its description in RNAcentral is "partial 16S ribosomal RNA". It matches the Rfam family "Bacterial small subunit ribosomal RNA", at positions 793 to 1055 of the family's 1533-position model. The record is from RNAcentral.